GAUGAACGCUGGCGGCGUGCCUAAUACAUGCAAGUCGAGCGAACAGACGAGGAGCUUGCUCCUUUGACGUUAGCGGCGGACGGGUGAGUAACACGUGGAUAACCUACCUAUAAGACUGGGAUAACUUCGGGAAACCGGAGCUAAUACCGGAUAACAUGUUGAACCGCAUGAUUCAACAGUGAAAGACGGUCUUGCUGUCACUUAUAGAUGGAUCCGCGCCGCAUUAGCUAGUUGGUAAGGUAACGGCUUACCAAGGCAACGAUGCGUAGCCGACCUGGGAGGGUGAUCGGCCACACUGGAACUGAGACACGGUCCAGACUCCUACGGGAGGCAGCAGUAGGGAAUCUUCCGCAAUGGGCGAAAGCCUGACGGAGCAACGCCGCGUGAGUGAAGAAGGUCUUCGGAUCGUAAAACUCUGUUAUUAGGGAAGAACAAAUGUGUAAGUAACUAUGCACGUCUUGACGGUACCUAAUCAGAAAGCCACGGCUAACUACGUG
RNAcentral lists this ribosomal RNA (497 nucleotides) under uncultured bacterium. RNAcentral describes it as "partial 16S ribosomal RNA". It matches the Rfam family "Bacterial small subunit ribosomal RNA", at positions 28 to 507 of the family's 1533-position model. The record is from RNAcentral.